CAGCCGCCGCGGGAAUACGGAGGGGGCUAGCGUUGUUCGGAAUUACUGGGCGUAAAGCGCACGUAGGCGGCUUUGUAAGUUAGAGGUGAAAGCCCGGAGCUCAACUCCGGAAUUGCCUUUAAGACUGCAGAGCUAGCAGGUGAGAGAGGUGAGUGGAAUUCCGAGUGUAGAGGUGAAAUUCGUAGAUAUUCGGAAGAACACCAGUGGCGAAGGCGGCUUACUGGCUCAUUCUAGACGCUGAGGUGCGAAAGCGUGGGGAGCAAACAGGAUUAGAUACCCGUGUAGUCCCUGUCUCUUAUAC
Molecule: ribosomal RNA, 301 nt
Filed under: uncultured bacterium
Lineage: Bacteria
Description: partial 16S ribosomal RNA
Rfam family: Bacterial small subunit ribosomal RNA
Source: RNAcentral